This is a long non-coding RNA of Solanum pennellii, 261 nucleotides long. RefSeq lists it as uncharacterized. The transcript has 2 exons. The record is from RefSeq and is a predicted model, not a curated record. Lineage: Eukaryota; Viridiplantae; Streptophyta; Magnoliopsida; Solanales; Solanaceae.
UCUGUUAGUGGGUUAUUUUAUCAGUAAGGUGGAUCGUCUAUUUCUUGGAAUUCCAAGAAACAGACCUCUCUCUUUAUCGUCUGCGGAAUCGGAAUACAGAUCUAUGAGAAAGUGGGUUAUUAUCGAAUUUUUAGUUUUGAGGUAACGGAGUUUAAUGACCUCUGCAAAUUGUACCGAAAUUAGAGGGGAUAUUCAAACCUCCAUAAUUUGAUAAAAUUUGUGGGGGCAUAUUGACCUCCACUAUAAAAUUUUAAAAAAAAA